CCCCAGUCUGUUCAGGGAGGUCCCUGCCUCUUUUCCCCUUGCCGAGUCACAUUAUCGCACUGUGCAAAGAAGCAAGGGAAGUGGGGAGAGCGGCCCCUAGGAGAGUGUCACACCCCCUCUCCCCACUCUCUCGGCCCCCAAGAAAAGGCACUGAGAGUUAGUCCCUCCCCUGGGGUGGGCGCGUCGGAUCCCGGGUGCAGAUGGACUGCAGGCUAAGCGGGGAGAUGAAGACCAGGCGCAGAGGAUUCCGUAGGGCCUGCACUCUGCCGCCCACCUGCCAAGCUGCUUCGGAAGUUCACUUGCAUGCUCUUGGAGACCGAAGGCUCCUCCCAGAACAGCCUCACCAGAGAUAACUUCGUAGUGGACUCAGAAGUCUGCAACAGGUGGCACCCAACGUGGGGCAAUUGGGAGCCUGAAAGAGUGGUUUCCCCCGGUGAGGAGCCCUUGACCAAGGUGGGCUGCCUGGCCAGCAGCUGUGAUGCGGAGCGCUCCAGCCGUCUGAAACAAGACUGGAAACGGGGUCGCUGGAAAGUAGCGACUCCCGCUGUUUGA
This 552-nucleotide long non-coding RNA is filed under the name Phascolarctos cinereus (koala). RNAcentral's name for it is "lncRNA (ENSPCIG00000035787.1)". The record is from RNAcentral. Lineage: Eukaryota; Metazoa; Chordata; Mammalia; Diprotodontia; Phascolarctidae.